This 1621-nucleotide ribosomal RNA is filed under the name Salmonella enterica subsp. enterica serovar Rubislaw. Its description in RNAcentral is "partial 23S ribosomal RNA". It matches the Rfam family "Bacterial large subunit ribosomal RNA", at positions 1200 to 2802 of the family's 2925-position model. Lineage: Bacteria; Pseudomonadati; Pseudomonadota; Gammaproteobacteria; Enterobacterales; Enterobacteriaceae. The record is from RNAcentral. RNAcentral also lists the same sequence under 1 other name.
CUGCGGCAGCGACACUCAGGUGUUGUUGGGUAGGGGAGCGUUCUGUAAGCCUGCGAAGGUGGCCUGUGAGGGUUGCUGGAGGUAUCAGAAGUGCGAAUGCUGACAUAAGUAACGAUAAAGCGGGUGAAAAGCCCGCUCGCCGGAAGACCAAGGGUUCCUGUCCAACGUUAAUCGGGGCAGGGUGAGUCGACCCCUAAGGCGAGGCCGAAAGGCGUAGUCGAUGGGAAACGGGUUAAUAUUCCCGUACUUGGUGUUACUGCGAAGGGGGGACGGAGAAGGCUAUGUUGGCCGGGCGACGGUUGUCCCGGUUUAAGCGUGUAGGUGUGUGUUCCAGGUAAAUCCGGUUCACUUUAACACUGAGGCGUGACGACGAGGCACUACGGUGCUGAAGCAACAAAUGCCCUGCUUCCAGGAAAAGCCUCUAAGCAUCAGGUAACAUCAAAUCGUACCCCAAACCGACACAGGUGGUCAGGUAGAGAAUACCAAGGCGCUUGAGAGAACUCGGGUGAAGGAACUAGGCAAAAUGGUGCCGUAACUUCGGGAGAAGGCACGCUGACACGUAGGUGAAGUGAUUUACUCACGGAGCUGAAGUCAGUCGAAGAUACCAGCUGGCUGCAACUGUUUAUUAAAAACACAGCACUGUGCAAACACGAAAGUGGACGUAUACGGUGUGACGCCUGCCCGGUGCCGGAAGGUUAAUUGAUGGGGUCAGCGCAAGCGAAGCUCCUGAUCGAAGCCCCGGUAAACGGCGGCCGUAACUAUAACGGUCCUAAGGUAGCGAAAUUCCUUGUCGGGUAAGUUCCGACCUGCACGAAUGGCGUAAUGAUGGCCAGGCUGUCUCCACCCGAGACUCAGUGAAAUUGAACUCGCUGUGAAGAUGCAGUGUACCCGCGGCAAGACGGAAAGACCCCGUGAACCUUUACUAUAGCUUGACACUGAACAUUGAGCCUUGAUGUGUAGGAUAGGUGGGAGGCUUUGAAGUGUGGACGCCAGUCUGCAUGGAGCCGACCUUGAAAUACCACCCUUUAAUGUUUGAUGUUCUAACGUGGACCCGUGAUCCGGGUUGCGGACAGUGUCUGGUGGGUAGUUUGACUGGGGCGGUCUCCUCCUAAAGAGUAACGGAGGAGCACGAAGGUUGGCUAAUCCUGGUCGGACAUCAGGAGGUUAGUGCAAUGGCAUAAGCCAGCUUGACUGCGAGCGUGACGGCGCGAGCAGGUGCGAAAGCAGGUCAUAGUGAUCCGGUGGUUCUGAAUGGAAGGGCCAUCGCUCAACGGAUAAAAGGUACUCCGGGGAUAACAGGCUGAUACCGCCCAAGAGUUCAUAUCGACGGCGGUGUUUGGCACCUCGAUGUCGGCUCAUCACAUCCUGGGGCUGAAGUAGGUCCCAAGGGUAUGGCUGUUCGCCAUUUAAAGUGGUACGCGAGCUGGGUUUAGAACGUCGUGAGACAGUUCGGUCCCUAUCUGCCGUGGGCGCUGGAGAACUGAGGGGGGCUGCUCCUAGUACGAGAGGACCGGAGUGGACGCAUCACUGGUGUUCGGGUUGUCAUGCCAAUGGCACUGCCCGGUAGCUAAAUGCGGAAGAGAUAAGUGCUGAAAGCAUCUAAGCACGAAACUUGCCCCGA